Molecule: ribosomal RNA, 465 nt
Filed under: grassland soil clone saf1_312
Lineage: Bacteria
Description: bacterial SSU rRNA
Rfam family: Bacterial small subunit ribosomal RNA
Source: RNAcentral
AACACAUGCAAGUCGAACGCGAAAGGGAGCAAUCCCUGAUCGAGUGGCAAACGGGUGAGUAACACGUGGGUGACCUACCUUCGAGUGGGGGAUAACGUCCCGAAAGGGACGCUAAUACCGCAUGACAUCCUGCUUUUGGAAAAGCGGACAUUAAAGCUGGGGAUCGCAAGACCUGGCGCUUGAAGAGGGGCCCGCGCCUGAUUAGCUAGUUGGUGAGGUAACGGCUCACCAAGGCUACGAUCAGUAUCCGGCCUGAGAGGGCGGACGGACACACUGGGACUGAGACACGGCCCAGACUCCUACGGGAGGCAGCAGUGGGGAAUUGUUCGCAAUGGGCGAAAGCCUGACGACGCAACGCCGCGUGGAGGACGAAGAUCUUCGGGUCGUAAACUCCUGUCGAGCGGGAAGAAUGCUUCCCGGGUAAAUAUCCUGGGGAAUUGACGGUACCGCUAAAGGAAGCCCCGG